Chenopodium quinoa (quinoa) is the source of this 736-nucleotide long non-coding RNA. RefSeq lists it as uncharacterized. Lineage: Eukaryota; Viridiplantae; Streptophyta; Magnoliopsida; Caryophyllales; Amaranthaceae. The record is from RefSeq and is a predicted model, not a curated record. The transcript is spliced from 2 exons.
CGGAAGCAAUCUCCAUUAGUCCUCUAUAGUCUAUCCUCAAAUCAAUCAGUCUACAAUAAUACUAUAAGGGCUCUUACAUCUCAUAUUUCUUCUUAAUCCUACAAACUACCCUUCUCAUUUUCAUCUCUCUUCGCCUUUCAGAUCUCUCUUCUACUACAGGAGGUUUCAGUAACAGUUUAUGGCUAUAAAAUCCCCGGCUCAAGUGGUUUCGUUGGAUCUAUUCAGGGAGUUGCUCAUUGCUAUUUCGCAGUCUGAACCUGAAAAACUGUCUUGUUCAAGGUCACUGUAUGAGCAUUGUGAAAGCUUAAAUGGUGCUAAUAAGGUGAGGGACGAGGACAUAACUGAAGAGUUAAGGUCAAAAUUGAUCUCGAUUUCUUGUGAAUUGUCUGCAGAUAACAUCAUUCAAUCAUCAGUGGGCAUGCAGGAGGUUUAAUGUUGAUGCCUUUGUGGUUUCCGUAGGAGUCAUUAGGUCUGAACGCUGUAAUUUCUAAUUUGAUGUUGUAACAUUGCCAUUUUAGCAGGGAUGCUUUGUGUAUCAGUUUGUGAUGUAUGGCUCAAAUGUAAACUUUCUUCCGCCCUUUCAUUGAGCUGUCUCUAAUUAUAUGGCAGUUCAAUAGCAUAGAGUGAUUACGCGUAGGGUGUCACCAUUCAAAAUUAAACGUUUUACUAUGUAUUUGGAGAAAAUUCAUGCUUACUGCCAAAGCUUUUGCAAUAAAAAGACCUGAUUUGGAAUCAA